Molecule: ribosomal RNA, 490 nt
Filed under: uncultured bacterium
Lineage: Bacteria
Description: partial 16S ribosomal RNA
Rfam family: Bacterial small subunit ribosomal RNA
Source: RNAcentral
AUUGAACGCUGGCGGCAGGCCUAACACAUGCAAGUCGAACGGUAACAGGAAGAAGCUUGCUUCUUUGCUGACGAGUGACGGACGGGUGAGUAAUGUCUGGGAAACUGCCUGAUGGAGGGGGAUAACUACUGGAAACGGUAGCUAAUACCGCAUAACGUCGCAAGACCAAAAAGGGGGACCUUCGGGCCUCUUGCCAUCGGAUGUGCCCAGAUGGGAUUAGCUAGUAGGUGGGGUAACGGCUCACCUAGGCGACGAUCCCUAGCUGGUCUGAGAGGAUGACCAGCCACACUGGAACUGAGACACGGUCCAGACUCCUACGGGAGGCAGCAGUGGGGAAUAUUGCACAAUGGGCGCAAGCCUGAUGCAGCCAUGCCGCGUGUAUGAAGAAGGCCUUCGGGUUGUAAAGUACUUUCAGCGGGGAGGAAGGGAGUAAAGUUAAUACCUUUGCUCAUUGACGUUACCCGCAGAAGAAGCACCGGCUAACUCCGUG